GCGAUUAUAGUUCAAUCGGUAGAACGGUAAAUUGUGACUUUAUAAACCAAGGUUCGAACCCUUGUUUUCGCC
Molecule: transfer RNA, 72 nt
Filed under: Mortierella polycephala
Lineage: Eukaryota; Fungi; Mortierellomycota; Mortierellomycetes; Mortierellales; Mortierellaceae
Rfam family: tRNA
About the family: Transfer RNA (tRNA) molecules are approximately 80 nucleotides in length. Their secondary structure includes four short double-helical elements and three loops (D, anti-codon, and T loops).
Source: Rfam by way of RNAcentral